This 151-nucleotide non-coding RNA is filed under the name Luteibacter yeojuensis. RNAcentral's name for it is "FMN sequence". It matches the Rfam family "FMN riboswitch aptamer (RFN element)". From Rfam's summary of the family: The RFN element is a highly conserved domain that is found frequently in the 5'-untranslated regions of prokaryotic mRNAs that encode for flavin mononucleotide (FMN) biosynthesis and transport proteins. This element is a metabolite-dependent riboswitch that directly binds FMN in the absence of proteins. In Bacillus subtilis, the riboswitch most likely controls gene expression by causing premature transcription termination within the 5' untranslated region of the ribDEAHT operon and precluding access to the ribosome-binding site of ypaA mRNA. The record is from RNAcentral. Lineage: Bacteria; Pseudomonadati; Pseudomonadota; Gammaproteobacteria; Lysobacterales; Rhodanobacteraceae.
ACGCGUCUUCAGGGCGGGGUGUAACUCCCCACCGGCGGUAGGUUUCGGUAACGAAACAAGCCCGCGAGCGCUCCCGGCACCCGCCGGGAGGUCAGCAGAUCCGGUCAGAGUCCGGAGCCGACGGUCAUAGUCCGGAUGAAAGAAGACGGCA